UAGUGGCGAACGGGUGAGUAACACGUGGGCAAUCUGCCCUUCACUCUGGGACAAGCCCUGGAAACGGGGUCUAAUACCGGAUAACACUCUGUCCCGCAUGGGACGGGGUUAAAAGCUCCGGCGGUGAAGGAUGAGCCCGCGGCCUAUCAGCUUGUUGGUGGGGUGAUGGCCUACCAAGGCGACGACGGGUAGCCGGCCUGAGAGGGCGACCGGCCACACUGGGACUGAGACACGGCCCAGACUCCUACGGGAGGCAGCAGUGGGGAAUAUUGCACAAUGGGCGAAAGCCUGAUGCAGCGACGCCGCGUGAGGGAUGACGGCCUUCGGGUUGUAAACCUCUUUCAGCAGGGAAGAAGCGAAAGUGACGGUACCUGCAGAAGAAGCGCCGGCUAACUACGUGCCAGCAGCCGCGGUAAUACGUAGGGCGCAAGCGUUGUCCGGAAUUAUUGGGCGUAAAGAGCUCGUAGGCGGCUUGUCACGUCGGAUGUGAAAGCCCGGGGCUUAACCCCGGGUCUGCAUUCGAUACGGGCUAGCUAGAGUGUGGUAGGGGAGAUCGGAAUUCCUGGUGUAGCGGUGAAAUGCGCAGAUAUCAGGAGGAACACCGGUGGCGAAGGCGGAUCUCUGGGCCAUUACUGACGCUGAGGAGCGAAAGCGUGGGGAGCGAACAGGAUUAGAUACCCUGGUAGUCCACGCCGUAAACGUUGGGAACUA
This 711-nucleotide ribosomal RNA is filed under the name Streptomyces sp. KLBMP 1327. RNAcentral describes it as "bacterial SSU rRNA". It matches the Rfam family "Bacterial small subunit ribosomal RNA", at positions 93 to 818 of the family's 1533-position model. The record is from RNAcentral. Lineage: Bacteria; Bacillati; Actinomycetota; Actinomycetes; Kitasatosporales; Streptomycetaceae.